AGCGAACGCUAGCGGCGGGCCUAACACAUGCAAGUCGAGCGGAGGGAGCAAUCCUUCAGCGGCGGACGGGUGAGUAACGCGUAGGUAAUGUACCUUCUGGUGGGGAAUAACCGUGGGAAACCAUGGCUAAUACCGCAUAUCGUCCUUACGGAUGAAAGCCUUCGGGCGCCAGAAGAGCAGCCUGCGUCCCAUUAUUUAGUCCUAGUUGGUGAGGUAACGGCUCACCAAGGGUACGAUGGGUAGCUGGUCUGAGAGGAUGAUCAGCCACGCUGGAACUGAGACACGGUCCAGACUCCUACGGGAGGCAGCAGUGGGGAAUAUUGCGCAAUGGGCGAAAGCCUGACGCAGCCACGCCGCGUGAGUGAUGAAGGCCUCGGUUGUAAG
RNAcentral lists this ribosomal RNA (384 nucleotides) under uncultured bacterium. RNAcentral describes it as "bacterial SSU rRNA". It matches the Rfam family "Bacterial small subunit ribosomal RNA", at positions 29 to 429 of the family's 1533-position model. The record is from RNAcentral.